UUAUUGCGAAGAGCUCAGAGGAGCCAGUGUUACUACAGAGAGUUGUUGGAGUUAUUUACUGUUAUUGGAAUCGUCAACCGCGUGGAAGGCUACGUUGGGAAAAGUAUUAUGGACGUCGACUAGUUACCAGGAUCAUUGAAGGAAACUCGUGGAACUUCCCUCUUUUGGAGCAUUCAGGGCAGAUGAUGAGUUUGCUUGCCAGGACGACUAUUUAAUUCAUAUGGCGCGAUAUGGGACCUAUGGGGAUCAGAUAACGCUAUGUGAAGUAGCAAAUUUGUACAACAUCGACAUCCAAAUAGUGUCCUCUCUUGGGGUUCGUGGGCAGCAUGCGUUCAGUCCGUUAGCAAGUGUUUCAGCAGCUACCGUGUAUACCUUGGACAUUUUGCUAAGAACCAUGGCGAACGCUAUGUGAGCUUGGAACAAGUUACGGAUCACAAUGACGGCAGUGAAUAAGACUACGAAGCAAAUGACUCAAGAAAAGGAGAAAUAUUCGAGCAUUAUGCAAAUAAAAUGCAUUUAGAGCAGGAUUUUGAAAUAAAUGAUACUGUUGAUUAUCAGGAUGUCACUGUCGCAAAGAAUGGAGCUGAUGGUAUCGUCGACGAUGGUGGUGACUCGAAUAUGACUGCAGAUAUAGCUAAGGGAUGACAUAUGGUAGUCGAACGAACGAAACGGAACCUGAAUUGCAAAAUGACGUCUACAAAGGCUUAUUCAAUAAUGGUGAUAAGCUAAUAGAUGUUCAGUUUGUUUCAGACGUAGACAUCGACUUAUUUGCGACGAAAGGGGAAGACGAAUCACACAUUGGAAAUCUUCUUCUUUGCAGUUGCAUAAGUGUGAGGUCUGGUGACUAAGAUUAGACACAACUGGGGCGGUGCGUGCUGAGCAUUCUGACUGUACAGCAUAGCUGAACAACAACUAAAACCAGCGGUCAAACGUUGGGCAUGCGCUAAGGAAUCAAUCUGGACACCUACGCACAAAUUCCCCGUGCAAAAUUUUAAACAAUAACAUAAAGAAUCAAUCGCUGUUGCAAAAUAAGGGAAAGAAAAAAGGGAUUAAAGGAAGAAAAAAAAAUAAAAACCGGAGCCUUUUCAAAUGCAAAGCUGAUUCAAGAAGUUAACCACUCUGUUUUGAAGUUAACUUAUUUUGCUUCUGCGCUGCUAAAACACCGUGACGUACUCGCUUGAGUGGUUGUUGAAACUUUUGGACGGUGUCUGCAACGAGGUGGCAAAAAGCGGCGGAAGACAGUCAAAACAAAGAAAGUAUUAAAUGACCCUUAUGGGUUUAUUGUCCUGCAGAGAUAGCUGGCUCUCUUUCUCAACCCUCAAAAUAAACAAGUCAUUCUUGAUUCUUAUAAAAGCGGAAUCUUUUUCUGUCUAACAAUAAAUCCUUCAUUGACUUAGCCAAAAGAACAUAAAAUAUCUCGACGAAGCCUCUUCGGUCAAGAUGGAUUGGUCAAUGUUCUUUUGUUUUGACAUCUGUCAAUUUGAUGCCAAAAAUACAUCAGUAUGAAGGUUUGUAGCCAAUGCUUCUUGGCCUACGUCUCUAGCAAAAAGAAAAAACGCUGAUUGAAAUCAGCGAGCAAGCCUGCAAAACGCCAGUAAUUUUGGCCAGAGGAUUUUCUGAUGCAACAGUUGUUACUUUAAAGACCCAUUGUCACGUACCAUGAUGCAUCGCGCGCGUUUUGUUCUUUCUGGGACCACGAAAGUAGCCAUUAUUGGUUCGAGUCUUAGUGGCGGAUUAAUCCUUUGCCAUCCGAGCAAUCAUUGUAUAUUUCGAUCGAGAUUUAGUUUCAACGCGUAAAUUAGUUGUCUCUUAGUCUGUUUGAGGCGUUACGUUGUGUUAUAUUAGAUCUUAAACCCUGAUUCUAUUCAACAAGUGAUGCCACCAAAACGAAAAGGACGGCUGCCAAGGAAUGAAAGCCGAGUCAAAAUAUGGUUCAGGCAAUCGGUGUAUAAUCUUUGGAAGGAAGGGAAAGAAGCCUUGGGGUUUGGAAACAGGACCAAUCUGCAUCCAGUGUCAGAAAGAGGCGACGGAUUGAAACAAACGACAAUCACUCACCAUCAGUAGUAGCAAUGCGAAGGCCAUUGUUUGCAUCGUUCCGCGGUCAGUGGAGACGAAUCAUGAUAAACAAAGAGCAGUGCAUCACGCUCUGGCAGGUAACUUCCCUUUCACAUUGGAUAUCACAGAUAUGAGGAGCUGCUACUGUCAUUCUCUUGAGAACGAAACCUUUGAGAGCCAUGCCACGAAUGUUAAUUUCUGUCCUGCACUGAUUCUCAGCGGUCACAAGAUACAAAAGUCUGCCAGCGGUCAGGGCAUAUCCAUCACGCGGGAUCGAAAACUCGAAGACGUGCAUCGACAGCGUUGUAGAGACGUGAUUAUUCAUUGUGGAGUAGACUUUCGCUUCGAUUAGGUAAACUCUAAAAUAAUACUCAGACUGUAAAUUAAGGAAGCCAAAACGGUGACAACAAAGCAGUUGAAUACAAAGAGCUUGUUCUCAG
Molecule: long non-coding RNA, 2495 nt
Filed under: Stylophora pistillata
Lineage: Eukaryota; Metazoa; Cnidaria; Anthozoa; Scleractinia; Pocilloporidae
Description: uncharacterized LOC111331848, transcript variant X2
Source: RNAcentral